ACUCCUACGGGAGGCAGCAGUGGGGAAUAUUGCACAAUGGGCGCAAGCCUGAUGCAGCCAUGCCGCGUGUAUGAAGAAGGCCUUCGGGUUGUAAAGUACUUUCAGCAGUGAGGAAGGCGGGUACGUUAAUAGCGUGCUUGUUUGACGUUAGCUGCAGAAGAAGCACCGGCUAACUCCGUGCCAGCAGCCGCGGUAAUACGGAGGGUGCGAGCGUUAAUCGGAAUUACUGGGCGUAAAGCGCAUGCAGGUGGUUUGUUAAGUCAGAUGUGAAAGCCCGGGGCUCAACCUCGGAAUUGCAUUUGAAACUGGCAGACUAGAGUACUGUAGAGGGGGGUAGAAUUUCAGGUGUAGCGGUGAAAUGCGUAGAGAUCUGAAGGAAUACCGGUGGCGAAGGCGGCCCCCUGGACAGAUACUGACACUCAGAUGCGAAAGCGUGGGAGCAAACAGGAUUAGAUACCCUGGUAGGAUAGCG
Molecule: ribosomal RNA, 472 nt
Filed under: uncultured bacterium
Lineage: Bacteria
Description: bacterial SSU rRNA
Rfam family: Bacterial small subunit ribosomal RNA
Source: RNAcentral